AACUGCACCUCUAGCACAUCUUGCAUCCGCGACUUAGACCGCGACUCGAGUCGACAUUCCCGCGGCUGUCAAAUCUGUCGAUUUCCGUAGCACAACUUGUACCCGCGACUGCAACAGCCGCGUAGAGAACUCAAAGUCGCGGCGCGACUCAUCAGUGUUCCCCGAUGGAAUCAAAGUCUAAACAUAAAUCCUAUUUACAUGUGACAACACUGAAUCGGAAACAGGGUUGCGCUAUUUCAUUCGUUCUUUGGUGGUAAAAAAUCUAGUUUAUUGUCGAUGGUUAAGUUUUUCCUGUCAAAGUCAAGGAACUUUCAAAUUUUGUCAACAUUUAAUUACGAGAAAAAAUAUGAAAAAAUGUAAGUAAUAGAGCCUUAUAUACUAAAUUUUGAUAAUAUUCCUUAAAAUAUAUAAUAUAUAGUUUAUUAAUUUCUGUUUAAUAAACCUUUUAAAUAAAAUAUUUUUGUAAAUAACUAUAAUUAAUGGAAUUGCUAUUAUUGGUUUGGUUCUCAUAUUCCUGUUAUAAAUUGUGUUUUUUUUUUCAGAAUAAGUCCAGCAUUAUCCUAGACACGAUUGAUAUCCCAGCACCCAAAGGAAAAUAUUGUUAACAGGAAUGUGCCAACGGGACCCGAAGUGGAGAGUCAGGAAAAGAAACACACUAGGCAAGCUUGGUGAUAUUUAAUUGUCCUACGCCGCAUGUCGAAUAAAAAGGAAGAGAGAAAAUACUUUUCAAGGGUAAUAAAGAAGAUUCUUACAAUUUCUCUAUUGUGGUUCUAGAUGUUAAUAAUAUAUUAGGUUUAAUAAUAAGAAGUCGAAUAUUGCAAGAAUAUAUAAGGCAAAGCAAUAUACUAUUAAUUUAAA
Long non-coding RNA from Cydia splendana, 858 nucleotides. RefSeq lists it as uncharacterized. The record is from RefSeq and is a predicted model, not a curated record. Lineage: Eukaryota; Metazoa; Arthropoda; Insecta; Lepidoptera; Tortricidae. The transcript has 2 exons.